UACGUAGGGUGCGAGCGUUGCCCGGAUUUAUUGGGCGUAAAGGGCGCGCAGGCGGCCACGCACGUCCGUUGUGAAAUCGCCCGGCUCAACUGGGCGGGGUCAGCGGAUACGGCGUGGCUGGAGCAAGCUAGGGGGCAAUGGAAUUCCCGGUGUAGUGGUGGAAUGCGUAGAUAUCGGGAGGAACACCGGUGGCGAAGGCGGCGACCUGGGUAGAUACUGACGCUGAGGUGCGAAAGCGCGGGGAGCAAACAGG
This 253-nucleotide ribosomal RNA is filed under the name uncultured bacterium. RNAcentral's name for it is "partial 16S ribosomal RNA". It matches the Rfam family "Bacterial small subunit ribosomal RNA", at positions 524 to 776 of the family's 1533-position model. The record is from RNAcentral.